RNAcentral lists this long non-coding RNA (1392 nucleotides) under Mus musculus (house mouse). RNAcentral describes it as "long non-coding RNA chr16:40002463-40003855". Lineage: Eukaryota; Metazoa; Chordata; Mammalia; Rodentia; Muridae. The record is from RNAcentral.
CUGCAUCUGUGGUUGUUUUAACUGUAUGCAUGAAGAAUAAAAUUUGGACAGUGCACACAUAGGACUUGCAGGGACUCACAGUGUGUCAUAUUUUGCACUUUUUAUGAAUGUUGAUAUGUUUUCAGAAUAAUUUAUAACUGCAAUUGAAAACUGAAUGGCUAUUGAUUAAAUUUUAGUUUCAAAAACUAAUUGACAUAUAAAGCUUCAUAAAUCCUUUUAGAAAAGGAUGAGUAUAAAUUAAAAACUAAUUACAGCAAAGGCUUAUAAAAUACUCCAAUUCCAGUUCUAUGGUUAUAUACUGUUGUAUGCUAUGAAGGUGUUCCUUUGUCUUCUUAAUCAAAACUCCUGCCAUAGAAUUAAAUAUGAACCAUAAAAGAUAUUUUAAUUGCUAAUGAUUACUUUAUAUAUAGUAUCCCUUUUCAAGAGAGUUUAUAAGAAUUUUUAAUCAGUAAUAUUUAAAAAUUUAAAAAAGAACAGAAGUGGGCCAUGUUAAGGCAGCAGAACCAAUUGCCAGUUAUCUGUAACCUCUAUCCUUGAUGCUAAUAAGCCUUUUACCUUCGAAGACACUAAGCAUCUGGGAUCUAAGUAGUGACACCUAUUAGUUACAAUGGUUUCCUUUUACCUUCUAAGCAAUCUGAUAGAUAAACCUCCAGGAAUCCCACAAAAUUGGACCCUUAAUUGACCAAAUGAAUGGCUGUCUCUCUUUUACAGUAUAAAUUGAAAAGUGAGUUUGCUCCCAUGAGGUAAGACAUAACUUAGGAAAGAAAUCACGCUGAGACUCCACUUGCCACAUUAGUGUGCCCUUGUAAUCUCACCAAAAGCCACCCACCAACAGUAGGACAAAGUGAUUCUUCUAAAACGCACAUCGUUCUUCAAAUGAUUCAUCUCAAUUUCAUCUUCACCAUCACUUUAGAAACAUGCCUGAAACCACAUUUAUUUUAAAGAGUUUUAAGUAACAUUUGAGGAUCACCUGAUAUAAUAGAGAAUACUCUUUUCAAGCAAUAUAGCAGCAGAGAAGGUAGCUAAAGAGGGUGUUCUGAGAUUUUUUUUUUUUCCUGUGUGACUUCCUUUCAAAUACUGGGAAAUAUGAAGUAUUUUAAAGGCAAUCUGUGAAAUAGCAAUUUUAUAUGUAGUAUGGUUAUUCUUUUUGUCUACACUUCUUUAAGUACUAAACAUACUAGAAAUUAUAAUUCAUAUGCAAUGGCAAUAUGAGAAUUUACAUACUUCAAAUAAAAACAAUUUAAAUUCAUUUAAAAAAACCAAUUCAAUUACAAUUAAGUAACUGGGUAAUAUUUUCACAAAAAUCCAUUAAAUCAUAUUCUUUCAUUAAAAUAGUUUAUACAUUUUUAAUACAAAUGAAAAACAGAACCAAAGAGAUAAUAAAAUAGCAGC